CGACAUCCGGAUCAACUGUUACCCAAAAAAUUCGUGUUCUACGGGUCAAAAUACAUAAAAAAAACUUGGGUAAGUCCAUCUGAAUUAAGAAGGCCGUUGUACCCCCCCUGGCGACAGGACUAGUAACAUUCUAGUUAGGUAUAGGUUCAUUGAGGCCAUAAUUACAUCUGUCCGAAAAUAGGCAGCACAUAUACAUAUAAUAACUUAUGGCUGUUUAGCCCAUAUAUUGAACUUACCUGCAUAUGAUGACAUAGGUGUAUAUAAUGCCAGGAAUAAAGAGUACUAUAAAAAAAUUGCAAAUAUUUCAGAAAUGUACAUUUUGCUAGCGCAAAAUUUCGAGAAGCUGGUGAUUUUGCUCUUUUAUUGCAUCAGGAUGUUCGUUGGAAUACUUUAUCGGGAUGCUUAGAAAGUUACUUGAAAAUCUGGCCAAUAUCACAGUAGACUCCCUCUAUAACGAGAAUUGAAAUGGCGGACUAAUUACCUCGUCAUAAGCGGAUCUCGUUAUAUCAGACACCAAUAAUAUUGUGCAUACCACCACCAUCGAAAUGUUUUCAUGCCUCUUACGUAGUUUAUUAGGUGUCAAUGGUCGACCUCAACAAUGAAAUUUGGCCAUCGUAAAUUGUAAAUUUCCUACAGUAUUCCAUAUCGGUCGGUAGAUAAACAAGAAGGAAGAAGUUUAUUACCGGCGGUGGAAGUUAUUACAGCACUGGUCUCAAUAAGCACACAGAUGUUGGGCAUUCCUGUAUACAGGCAGUUAUGGUAUUUAUUUAUAGCCCGAUCAGGGAAUAGGUAGUUGAAAUUGUCUAUUAUUGUAUAAGAAAAAGUUUACAAUUCUACAUCCCCUCCAUUUUACAAAAAUUGGAAAAUACGGGAUGAAGAAAAUAAUCUCGGGAGUGGAAAAAAAUACGUUCAAAAUAAGUCCGGAAUUGGAUAUAAUGACUAAUUCUAAGCAACUUUUGUUCUAUAGAGUUUUUUUACAAAGUCAAUACACUUUUCGAUUUAUUUGCUAGUGAAUAUGUUCAUUUUUAACGAAAAAAAAAACAUGUUUUUGGACGAUUUUUCGGAAAUAACUCAAAAAGUAAGUAUUUUAGUGUCACCCAUUUCGAACUGAGUCCGGCACUGCCCCGCCGAGCCGUCAACAAGGAGUGAGAUCACCGUCUCGACACAGUAUAAAGAGGUUCCACAAUAGAACCACUCUCAGAAAAAUUGGAAGUAAAAUCUUUCAACGCGCAGAGCGGCUGCGCAUAUUUCCUGGUCGCCCCAGAACCAUUCUUCGAUUGCUACUCGCGUAGAAACGUACGGGUUAACAGUGCCGUAUUUUGCUUAAACUGAGUUAGUUUUGUAAAUAAUCGUUAGUAUUGUGAAGUUGAACAUGAGUCAAAUUCGAAGUGGUAUUAGUCGGUGUUCAGCGAAAAUGUGCCAGAACAAUUCAAAAAAUUGUUACAGUUUUUUUCCGAUUUCCCAAGGAAGCUGAUAGAGCACCAAAUUGGGCAAUUUUGUGCCAGAGAGAAGAUUUGUUAAACAAGAAAACAAACAUAAAUUUGAACAGAUUAUGCAGUGUGCAUUUUGAAAAUAGUAUGUUUUCAAAUAAAACUCGGACAGUUUGUGUAAAAACGCAGUACCACGUUUAUUUCCUUCAAUAGAAGAAGUCCAAACCAACAUUCGAAUGUUGAUCAAGAUGAUGAAAAUAGUUUUGAUCCAGUAAAUGAGGAACAACGGGAAGAAUUAGCUACCUUACCGCCUGGUGGAGAGGACAGCGAAGUUGUUCUACAAAAAAAUCAAAAAACUCAAACUUUAGAAAGUGUAUCGACCUAUAGCCCUAAAAAAACAAGCUAAGAAAGACUAUAAAGCAAUUGCAAAACAAGAAUUUUCGAUUAAAAAAAAUUGCAAAAACUACAAGAUUCUGGAAAACCCGAUUAUCUUAAAAACGUUACAUUGGAAAAUUAUAAAUCACUAACGGAUAAAUUUUGUUCUGCCAAUAAAAAUUUAGCUAAUUUUAAUAAUAUUCAAUAGUAUGUACAAUGUAUUAAAAACCAUUGAGAUUUAAAACUUGCGCAAUACCGUUGAAAUAUAAACAUUGAAUUGUAAUAUUGUUUUUCAUGUAUUAAACCUUUUGUUUUUGUAAUAUUAACAUUUAGUAAGAACAUCUGGACAUUUAAAUAUGAGAAGCCGCAUUUUUUAUUUUAAUAAAUAAUAGUAGUAGGCCCAGAAAGUUUUAGUACGGCUCUGUAAGGUUAAUCAAAGGAGCGUGCGGCCUCCGCCUGCAUCCGCCACUGGUGAAUUACCAAUUUCGUGCUUUGCCGGUAUUACUUCUUGAGAACAAAGCGCCGACAGAAGAGUGAUUUUACUGUGGAACCUCUAUAUACUGUGGUCUCGAUGAGUCGCCAGUACCCCAGAUGCUCGAGAAUUCUGAGACAAACAAUAUAAAUUGACGUUUUGCGUAGAGACGUAUUCAGUUAAUAUUUUAUCGACGCGAGAAUACUGUUACGUUAUAAUCGGGUUUUGAAAUGUAUUAUUUGUAUUUAAAGUAGAUAAGUCAA
Molecule: long non-coding RNA, 2540 nt
Filed under: Diabrotica virgifera virgifera (western corn rootworm)
Lineage: Eukaryota; Metazoa; Arthropoda; Insecta; Coleoptera; Chrysomelidae
Description: uncharacterized LOC126882290
Source: RNAcentral